GAUGAACGCUGGCGGCGUGCCUAAUACAUGCAAGUCGAGCGAACGGACGAGAAGCUUGCUUUUCUGAUGUUAGCGGCGGACGGGUGAGUAACACGUGGAUAACCUACCUAUAAGACUGGGAUAACUUCGGGAAACCGGAGCUAAUACCGUAUAAUAUUUUGAACCGCAUGGUUCAAAAGUGAAAGACGAUCUUGCUGUCACUUAUAGAUGGAUCCGCGCUGCAUUAGCUAGUUGGUAAGGUAACGGCUUACCAAGGCAACGAUGCAUAGCCGACCUGAGAGGGUGAUCGGCCACACUGGAACUGAGACACGGUCCAGACUCCUACGGGAGGCAGCAGUAGGGAAUCUUCCGCAAUGGGCGAAAGCCUGACGGAGCAACGCCGCGUGAGUGAUGAAGGUCUUCGGAUCGUAAAACUCUGUUAUUAGGGAAGAACAUAUGUGUAAGUAACUGUGCACAUCUUGACGGUACCUAAUCAGAAAGCCACGGCUAACUACGUG
Molecule: ribosomal RNA, 497 nt
Filed under: uncultured bacterium
Lineage: Bacteria
Description: partial 16S ribosomal RNA
Rfam family: Bacterial small subunit ribosomal RNA
Source: RNAcentral